GGAGUUUCUGACGUUCGGUUAUAUAGAUCUCUGUGGGAAAUAAGCUGCGUCACUUUGCCUUCACAACUUUGAAGAGGAACAUUACCAAAUAAAAUGGCUACAGCAUGCUGUAAGAAAUGUGGGUUGAUGAAAAACUACAAUGGAUCAUUACCGUAUAGAUGUAAGUGUGACCCUGAGGAAGAGCCCAACCCUUUUCCUCUGGCAUUGUGUCAGUCAAACAACAGCAUCCAGAAGUCCAUGGUCGCACCAACAAACGGGGUAAUGACUCGAUUUCACAACAACAUUGAGCAAGGUGUUCAGACAUAUCAACGUGUGAUC
Rhinichthys klamathensis goyatoka is the source of this 318-nucleotide long non-coding RNA. RefSeq lists it as uncharacterized. The transcript has 4 exons. The record is from RefSeq and is a predicted model, not a curated record. Lineage: Eukaryota; Metazoa; Chordata; Actinopteri; Cypriniformes; Leuciscidae.